UGCAACUCCAACUCUAAUUUGUUUGUCCGGGGUUUCGACUCCGAUUAAUAUGGAUAAGUUGCAUUGCAUCAUGUUUGCCAUGCCAUGCAUAUCAUACCAUGAGCAUGCUGAUUCUUUUGCCGUAGUAGUAAGAUGUGCAUCCAUUGGUUGUUGUAGUGCUUUGCUUCUUCACGGAUAGGAUCACGAAGUGGUGUUGUGAGAUACGACGAGUUCUCCGAUUCUUCAGCUUUUCACAGGCGAGCCCUCUCUCUUCACCUAUUAUACACUCUCCCUCGCAUUGCUAUCCUUAUGUUGCGCUUCUUUAUCGAGUCACGUGUCCUAUUCCACUUGUUUACCAUAAUAAUCCUAUAUGUAUCAUUCCUUACCCAUAGCCGUUGCUUGAUGUUUGAGCCUUGCGAGUCGUAGGCGUGUUUAGGCUCUGUUGUUUAUCUCGAUCUGUUAUCGGGAUAUGUUGGGUUGUUGGGAGGUUAUCACAUGCUAUAUCAGUUGUUGGAGAUACACAUGCUUUACUUAAUUGUUAACAACUAAAAUUGUAAGCAGAGGUAUCUGUGAGCCCCUUUGCGAAAGCAUCGGAACUUUGACUUGCUAAUGUCCCCUAGGACCCGAGUUCUUGUUAUCUGUUCCGAGAUUGAGCGCUCUACCCAUGCGUGGGGACGAUUAUUGGGACCCCCCCUCACCCAUUACCUUUUCUCAAGUCAGUUGAAAAGGGGGCCACAACCUUGGUUUUAUUUGGCGCAUGCAUGUUUAUAUAAUGUUGCCUUCGGGUGUUUACUUCCUGUUGCCUUCGGGUGUUUAUAUUCUGUACUGUACCCCGCGGAACGUUUAGCGAAGCGUGUGGUUUGCACGCCUAGCCGUUAACGCAAACCCUGAGUCCGCUUCGGAGUACGGCCGGACUUCGUUACGGGUAGCUUAGUCGGGUGGCCCCCCUAGACUUUCUUGUUGAACUGGGAACGGUCUUGUUGUGAGACAUCCACCUGUCGUAAGUGGGUCGAGCAUGCGUAUGGUUACAUUUGGGCAACCCCUGCAGGGUGUACAUCUUAUCGAUAAGCCGUGUCCGCGGUUAUGGACGACUUGGAAUUGUAUAGCUUGAUCAUAGAACAACUUACACCUUAGACUUAUUGUUAAUAAUCUGAUAAUAACUUGCGUAGUAAUAUAGCAUUACUACAACCGAUACCUAAUAAAACUUGUCCACCGUUGAGUGCCUUUUACAUUGCCUCUUCGCAAUUGUUGGAGGGGAUAUGUGUAAUCGGCUGGGUUAUGUUUGUGUAGUAUUUAUCUGUUACCUUGUGCGCUCUCUUAUCUUAUCUGAUUAGACGGAUGUUGUAGCGUGUCUCUAUUGGUUAUAGUUUUGCUGCCGCUAAACCUACCAUACAGCCCCCGGUGAUAUAUAUAUAUAUUAUACUCGCCCGGCGAGCAUAGCCAUUUCUAGUCUCGCUAAGUACGUGCCGGAGUUCGUUCCUUGGUACUUACUCUCGCCUUUUCCCCUUUCUCUUUUGCUUCCUCCCUCUUGUCGGCAACCGAUGGCCUGACUUUGACAGGUACAAGAUGACGACGUUAGCAAGGUUACCCUUCCGGCUUGGCCUGGGCAGGGUUAUGGACGCCACUGGUUAUCUUCAGGACUCUUAGUCCAAUUUGUAUCUUGUCCGUACUCGGACGUAUCCGAUCUUCUGUAUGAUUUGGAUCUUUGUAUUGUAUAUUUGUAUCUUGACUCGUUGGAGUCGUUGUUGUAAUAUAUGUAUCUUGUGGGCUCUAUUGUAA
Molecule: non-coding RNA, 1758 nt
Organism: Lolium perenne
Lineage: Eukaryota; Viridiplantae; Streptophyta; Magnoliopsida; Poales; Poaceae
Source: RefSeq, a predicted model, not a curated record